AGUCACUGACAUUAGAUACCCCCGUAGUCCAGGGUGUAAACGCUGCAGACUUGGUGUUGGAAGUCCUUUGGGGGCAUUCAGUGCCGGAGAGAAGUUGUUAAGUCUGCUACUUGGGAGUACGUCCGCAAGGAUGAAACUUAAAGGAAUUGGCGGGGGAGCACCGCAACGGGAGGAGCGUGCGGUUUAAUUGGAUUCAACACCGUAAAACUCACCAGGGUAGACUGUUACAUGAAAGCCGAGAUGAAGACUCUGCUAGAUUUUCAG
Molecule: ribosomal RNA, 264 nt
Filed under: uncultured archaeon
Lineage: Archaea
Description: partial 16S ribosomal RNA
Rfam family: Archaeal small subunit ribosomal RNA
Source: RNAcentral